GACCUUGUGCUUGCGAGGCCGGCGCUGGAACCACUGAGCUAAAUCCCCGGGCCCUCAUUUUUACUUUUAACUAGCAUUGAACAGCAUCAUGAAAAGCACAUCUUGUGUGCAUCAUCUUGAAUUCACAUAGUUUGCAUGACAUAAGCAAUUAUCAUUCUGCUUUACAUGGAGAAAAACAAGCCCUAGAGAGAAAAAAUUUGUCCAAAGACUCCUGGUGAUGUUGCUGUUGCCUGGAACCCCCUGGAGUUAUCAGCUGGGACAUCUCCAUGUGGCCUCUGUGUGUGACCACCAGGCUGGUGCUUAGAUGGUUUGCAUUGCUGUCCGCAUCCUCCAGUCUUCUUCUUCUUCUUCUUUUUUCUUUUUUGGUACCAGGGAUCGAACUCGGAUCCUUGUGCUUGCAAGGCAGGAGGUGGAACCACUGAGCAAAAUCCGCGGCCCCUUCAGUCUUCUUUUGUUUGUUGAUGUAUGUUUCACUGUCGGGAGCAUUUCUACAUAAAUUUUUGGGAAAAA
This is a non-coding RNA of Heterocephalus glaber (naked mole-rat), 510 nucleotides long. The record is from RefSeq and is a predicted model, not a curated record. NCBI's taxonomy places the organism in Eukaryota, Metazoa, Chordata, Mammalia, Rodentia, Bathyergidae.